This 497-nucleotide ribosomal RNA is filed under the name uncultured bacterium. RNAcentral describes it as "partial 16S ribosomal RNA". It matches the Rfam family "Bacterial small subunit ribosomal RNA", at positions 28 to 507 of the family's 1533-position model. The record is from RNAcentral.
GAUGAACGCUGGCGGCGUGCCUAAUACAUGCAAGUCGAGCGAACAGACGAGGAGCUUGCUCCUCUGACGUUAGCGGCGGACGGGUGAGUAACACGUGGAUAACCUACCUAUAAGACUGGGAUAACUUCGGGAAACCGGAGCUAAUACCGGAUAACAUGUUGAACCGCAUGGUUUAACAGUGAAAGACGGUCUUGCUGUCACUUAUAGAUGGAUCCGCGCCGCAUUAGCUAGUUGGUAAGGUAACGGCUUACCAAGGCAACGAUGCGUAGCCGACCUGAGAGGGUGAUCGGCCACACUGGAACUGAGACACGGUCCAGACUCCUACGGGGGGCAGCAGUAGGGAAUCUUUCGCAAUGGGCAAAAGCCUGACGGAGCAACGCCGCGUGAGUGAAGAAGGUCUUCGGAUCGUAAAACUCUGUUAUUAGGGAAGAACAAAUGUGUAAGUAACUAUGCACGUCUUGACGGUACCUAAUCAGAAAGCCACGGCUAACUACGUG